AACAAUCAGUUUCAAACUCCGAGAUAACCCCGAGGCACUCAUUUCUAACCCCGGGAGGUCAGACACACCUCAAAGACAACCCCGAGAACAUCCAGUACUUACAAUAGCUCAAUCUUAGAGAUAACCCUGAGAAAUGACUACUACAUCUGCCCAAAACCGGAGAUAACCCCGUUGAGGGAAAAAAUCAUCAUUUUUCCACCUCGAUCCCACAUUGCGUCGUCUCAACAACAUUUCAACAAACAUUCUAUGCAGAAGUGUCCUACAAGAACCAUAGCUAUAUAUAAGCAAUAAGUGAUAUAU
This 300-nucleotide long non-coding RNA is filed under the name Panax ginseng (ginseng). RNAcentral describes it as "long non-coding RNA (PGIN_LNC004002)". Lineage: Eukaryota; Viridiplantae; Streptophyta; Magnoliopsida; Apiales; Araliaceae. The record is from RNAcentral.